CUACGGGCCGCUCCAGUGAGGAAUAUUGCACAAUGGGGGGAACCCUGAUGCAGCAACGCCGCGUGGAGGAUGACGCAUUUCGGUGUGUAAACCCCUUUUAUAUGUCAAGAAAAUGACGGUAGCAUAUGAAUAAGCACCGGCUAACUCCGUGCCAGCAGCCGCGGUAAUACGGAGGGUGCAAGCGUUACUCGGAAUCACUGGGCGUAAAGGACGCGUAGGCGGGUUGGAAAGUCAGGUGUGAAAUCCUACAGCUUAACUGUAGAACUGCACUUGAAACUUCUAAUCUAGAGUAUGGGAGGGGGAGAUGGAAUUCGUGGUGUAGGGGUAAAAUCCGUAGAUAUCACUAGGAAUACCUAAAGCGAAGGCGAUCUCCUGGAACAUUACUGACGCUAAGGCGUGAAAGCGUGGGGAGCAAACAGGAUUAGAUACCCGGGUAGUC
Molecule: ribosomal RNA, 439 nt
Filed under: uncultured bacterium
Lineage: Bacteria
Description: partial 16S ribosomal RNA
Rfam family: Bacterial small subunit ribosomal RNA
Source: RNAcentral